AGUGAACGCUGGCGGUAUGCCUAACACAUGCAAGUCGAACGGCAGCACAGUAAGAGCUUGCUCUUACGGGUGGCGAGUGGCGGACGGGUGAGGAAUACAUCGGAAUCUACUUUUUCGUGGGGGAUAACGUAGGGAAACUUACGCUAAUACCGCAUACGACCUACGGGUGAAAGCAGGGGAUCUUCGGACCUUGCGCGAUUGAAUGAGCCGAUGUGGGAUUAGCUAGUUGGCGGGGUAAAGGCCCACCAAGGCGACGAUCCGUAGCUGGUCUGAGAGGAUGAUCAGCCACACUGGAACUGAGACACGGUCCAGACUCCUACGGGAGGCAGCAGUGGGGAAUAUUGGACAAUGGGCGCAAGCCUGAUCCAGCCAUACCGCGUGGGUGAAGAAGGCCUUCGGGUUGUAAAGCCCUUUUGUUGGGAAAGAAAAGCAGCAGGUUAAUACCCCGCUGUUCUGACGGUACCCAAAGAAUAAGCACCGGCUAACUUCGUG
This 492-nucleotide ribosomal RNA is filed under the name uncultured bacterium. Its description in RNAcentral is "partial 16S ribosomal RNA". It matches the Rfam family "Bacterial small subunit ribosomal RNA", at positions 29 to 507 of the family's 1533-position model. The record is from RNAcentral.